AUUGAACGCUAGCGGCAGGCCUUACACAUGCAAGUCGAACGAGUGGCGGACGGGUGAGUAAUCUCUGGGAACCUGCCCGAUAGAGGGGGAUAACUACUGGAAACAGUGGCUAAUACCGCAUACCAUCGGAUGUGCCCAUAUGGGAUUAGCUAGUUGGUGGGGUAAAGGCUCACCUAGGCGACGAUCCCUAGCUGGUCUGAGAGGAUGACCAGCCACACUGGAACUGAGACACGGUCCAGACUCCUACGGGAGGCAGCAGUGGGGAAUAUUGGACAAUGGGCGCAAGCCUGAUGCAGCCAUGCCGCGUGUAUGAAGAAGGCCUUCGGGUUGUAAAGUACUUUCAGCGGGGAAGCGUUAACAGCAGAAGAAGCACCGGCUAACUCCGUGCCAGCCGCCGCGGUAAUAC
RNAcentral lists this ribosomal RNA (406 nucleotides) under uncultured bacterium. RNAcentral describes it as "partial 16S ribosomal RNA". It matches the Rfam family "Bacterial small subunit ribosomal RNA", at positions 30 to 526 of the family's 1533-position model. The record is from RNAcentral.